CAGUCGCCGCGGUAAUACGAAGGGGGCUAGCGUUGUUCGGAUUUACUGGGCGUAAAGCGCACGUAGGCGGAUUCUUAAGUCAGAGGUGAAAUCCCAAGGCUCAACCUUGGAACUGCCUUUGAUACUGGGGAUCUUGAGUUCGGGAGAGGUGAGUGGAACUGCGAGUGUAGAGGUGAAAUUCGUAGAUAUUCGCAGGAACACCAGUGGCGAAGGCGGCUAACUGGUCCAUAUCUGACGCAGAGGUGCGAAAGCGUGGGGAGCAAACAGGAUUAGAUACCCGCGUAGUCCCUGUCUCUUAUAC
This 301-nucleotide ribosomal RNA is filed under the name uncultured bacterium. Its description in RNAcentral is "partial 16S ribosomal RNA". It matches the Rfam family "Bacterial small subunit ribosomal RNA", at positions 509 to 807 of the family's 1533-position model. The record is from RNAcentral.